This 429-nucleotide ribosomal RNA is filed under the name Chloroflexota bacterium. Its description in RNAcentral is "Chloroflexi bacterium partial 16S ribosomal RNA". It matches the Rfam family "Bacterial small subunit ribosomal RNA", at positions 355 to 776 of the family's 1533-position model. Lineage: Bacteria; Bacillati; Chloroflexota. The record is from RNAcentral.
UAGGGAAUCUUCGGCAAUGGACGAAAGUCUGACCGAGCAACGCCGCGUGAGUGAAGAAGGUUUUCGGAUCGUAAAACUCUGUUGUUAGAGAAGAACAAGGACGUUAGUAACUGAACGUCCCCUGACGGUAUCUAACCAGAAAGCCACGGCUAACUACGUGCCAGCAGCCGCGGUAAUACGUAGGUGGCAAGCGUUGUCCGGAUUUAUUGGGCGUAAAGCGAGCGCAGGCGGUUUCUUAAGUCUGAUGUGAAAGCCCCCGGCUCAACCGGGGAGGGUCAUUGGAAACUGGGAGACUUGAGUGCAGAAGAGGGGAGUGGAAUUCCAUGUGUAGCGGUGAAAUGCGUAGAUAUAUGGAGGAACACCAGUGGCGAAGGCGGCUCGCUGGUCUGUAACUGACGCUGGGGCUCGAAAGCGUGGGGAGCAAACAGG